AAGGAAUAUUGGUCAAUGGAGGAAACUCUGAACCAGCCAUCCCGCGUGAAGGAUGAAGGGGCUCUGCCUUGUAAACUUCUUUUGUCUGGGGCGAAAAAGCUCGAUUUAUCGAGAACUGACGGUACCAGAAGAAUAAGCACCGGCUAACUCCGUGCCAGCAGCCGCGGUAAUACGGAGGGUGCAAGCGUUAUCCGGAAUCACUGGGUUUAAAGGGUGCGUAGGCGGCUUAGUAAGUCAGUGGUGAAAGGCUGUGGCUUAACCAUGGAAUUGCCAUUGAUACUGCAGAGCUUGAAUGAGGUUGAGGUUGGCGGAAUGUGACAUGUAGCGGUGAAAUGCUUAGAUAUGUCAUGGAACACCGAUUGCGAAGGCAGCUGACUGGACCUAUAUUGACGCUGAGGCACGAAAGCGUGGGGAGCGAAC
This 420-nucleotide ribosomal RNA is filed under the name uncultured bacterium. RNAcentral's name for it is "bacterial SSU rRNA". It matches the Rfam family "Bacterial small subunit ribosomal RNA", at positions 356 to 773 of the family's 1533-position model. The record is from RNAcentral.